This 363-nucleotide ribosomal RNA is filed under the name Triticum aestivum (bread wheat). RNAcentral's name for it is "partial small subunit ribosomal RNA". Lineage: Eukaryota; Viridiplantae; Streptophyta; Magnoliopsida; Poales; Poaceae. The record is from RNAcentral.
AUGGCGUUCGCGGAUGUAUCUAUUGAUAACUUUCCAUGGACGGCAUAUGCUCAUGGAUAUUUCUUGGUCCUUGGAGCGCCGGUCAUCAACCCUGCGAGGGCUCCCGGUGAGAUUAACGGCGCCUUCUUUCGAAAUAAUGUUCACUACCUACAAGGGGAUUUCGCACUUCAGCAUGGAAUGUCCGGUGGACCAGUUACUAUGGGAAACAGAGUCAUUGGAGUCAGUACCGCAGUUGCGUGGGGACCGAGCGUCAUUAUUUCCCUGCAUACUCUACACAUGACACUUAUGUUUUGGUGUGGUCUUAAUGACGGAGACCCUACUAUUGAUGAGAUGCUAGAAAUGCUUGCUGCUGGUGCCGCCUAA